RNAcentral lists this ribosomal RNA (774 nucleotides) under uncultured Neocallimastigales. RNAcentral describes it as "partial large subunit ribosomal RNA". It matches the Rfam family "Eukaryotic large subunit ribosomal RNA", at positions 26 to 632 of the family's 3401-position model. The record is from RNAcentral. Lineage: Eukaryota; Fungi; Neocallimastigomycota; Neocallimastigomycetes; Neocallimastigales.
CGUCUAUAUACGUAUAGCAUAUCAAUAAGCGGAGGAAAAGAAACUAACUAGGAUUCCCUUAGUAACGGCGAGUGAAGCGGGAAGAGCUCAAAUUUGAAAUCUUCAAGGUUCUACCUUGACGAAUCGUAGUUUAAAGAAGUGUUUUCUGUUGGAGUUUUGGUAAAAGUUCUUUGGAAUAGGACAUCAUAGAGGGUGAGAAUCCCGUAUUUGACCAUUAUUUCCAACUUUGUGAUACACUUUCAAAGAGUCGGAUUGUUUGGGAAUGCAGUCCAAAAUGGGUGGUAAAUUUCAUCUAAAGCUAAAUAUUGGCGAGAGACCGAUAGCGAACAAGUACCGUGAGGGAAAGAUGAAAAGAACUUUGAAAAGAGAGUUAAACAGUACGUGAAAUUGUCAAAAGGGAAGCGUUUGACACCAGUGUUGUUUUCUCGAAAAUCAAUUAAAAAUGGUGGGAUUUUGUGUUGUAUUGACUUUAUCAGCUUUCUGCACUUUUUUCCUAUCUUUUUUAAUGCACUUUUCGUUUAACAAGUCAACAUCAAUUUCUUUUGUUGUAAAAGAGUCAUUGGAAGGUGGCUUUCUUUUCGGAGAAAGUGUUUAUAGCCUUUGACUUCUGCAAUCGGAGAGAUUGAGGUCUGCAGCGUAGAUCCUUCGGGGUUAGAUACAUUUGUGCUAAGUUAUAGCCUUUCAUAGACAACUUGUUGACUAUGAUCAGUCAUGUAGCUUACUCGCUUAUGUUAUUUUACCUACGCUUAGGAUGUUGAUCUGUAGUGCGUGCGC